Molecule: ribosomal RNA, 404 nt
Filed under: uncultured bacterium
Lineage: Bacteria
Description: bacterial SSU rRNA
Rfam family: Bacterial small subunit ribosomal RNA
Source: RNAcentral
AAUCAACGCUGGCGGCGUGCCUCAGACAUGCAAGUCGAACGAUUAAAGCUCUCUUCGGAGAGUGUAUAGAGUGGCGCACGGGUGAGUAACACGUAAGUAAUCUACCUUUGAGUGGGGAAUAACCCGGGGAAACCCGAGCUAAUACCGCAUAAUGCAGCGGCACCGCAAGGUGACAGUUGUUAAAGGAGCAAUCCGCUUAAAGAGGAGCUUGCGGCAGAUUAGCUAGNGGUAAGGUAAUGGCUUACCAAGGCUUCGAUCUGUAUCCGGCCUGAGAGGGCGGUCGGACACACUGACACUGAAUAACGGGUCAGACUCCUACGGGAGGCAGCAGUCGGGAAUUUUGGGCAAUGGGCGAAAGACCUGACCCAGCAACGCCGCGUGAAGGAUGAAGUAUUUCGGUAUGU